GUGAAAAGAAAAUAGGCGGAAAAGCGGGUAUGUGCCGAUUUGCUCCGCAGAUUUCUCAUGGUUCAGAAGCGCAGAACCGAGGCCUACACCAAGCUGAAAAGCUGUAAAAGAAGCGGUCAUGGAUAUUUUAUCAUGGAAUGGAACCCUCUCAUCAAGUUAUUUUCGUCUUGCUGCUUGUGCUUUUAUGGAGAAAUGGAAAAGCGUUCUGUCAGCUUUCCCUCUGUGGUCAUGGGUAACUUGUCCAAAACAACCUUGGGUUGCUUCUCAUGAUGUGGAAGGAUACUUAUCAUUGGAGAACAUAAUUCUCAAGUCAGUUGAGUUGUUAUGCACAGGAUGAACAUGAUGAACUAAGUUGCCCUCAGAAAGAAGAGGCAAGUUGCUUUGAGAAAGAGGAACCCAUUGAUGUUGCCACCUUAGUCCAGAGGAAUUGCAGCAAAGUACCUUACUAUGAUCUCCAUAUAAUAUAUAGUGCUUCAUACAGAGUUCCAGUACUAUUUUUCCAUGCUUACUACAGUGGAGCAUCCAUACUUGAACAGGCCAUGGUUUAAAUUACAUCCAUGUGGGACCAGUGAGUGGAUGAAGCUGCUUUUUCAUGCUGAUGUUUCGGUGCCUAAAAAUGGAGUGGCAAUUGAACUCUCUGUGGUGUCAUGGCUCUCAGUCGUUGGGCAAGUGGUUGGUCUUAGAAUCCCUCUUAAAAUGCUUGAAUCAGCUAUAAUAUUGAAUUGUUGAUGACUUUCCUUUGAUAAUAUCUGCACAUUAUAUGGAAGUAUGGGGGCUUGCUUUUGUUGACAAUCCUAUAUAUCCUCUUUUAUUA
This is an RNA transcript of Alnus glutinosa, 814 nucleotides long. It is a transcript of the gene named ubiquitin-like-conjugating enzyme ATG10, with no coding region annotated. NCBI's taxonomy places the organism in Eukaryota, Viridiplantae, Streptophyta, Magnoliopsida, Fagales, Betulaceae. The record is from RefSeq and is a predicted model, not a curated record. The transcript has 6 exons.